CCUGACGCAGCCACGCCGNGUGAGGGACGAAGGCUUUCGGGCGUAAACCUCUGUCAGGAAGGGAAGAACAGGCACAGAGGUCUAAUAAACCUUUGCCCUGCCGGUACCUUCCGAGGAAGCACCGGCUAACUCCGUGCCAGCAGCCGCGGCUAAUACGGCGGGUGCAAGCGUUAUUCGGAAUUACUGGGCGUAAAGCGCACGUAGGCGGCCUUGUAAGUCAGGGGUGAAAUCCCACGGCUCAACCGUGGAACUGCCUUUGAAACUGCAGGGCUUGAAUCCUGGAGCUGGGUGGCGGAAUUCCUGGUGUAGGAGUGAAAUCCGUAGAUAUCAGGAGGAACACCGGUGGCGAAGGCGGCCACCUGGACAGGUAUUGACGCUGAGGUGCGAAAGUGUGGGGAGCAAACAGGAUUAGAUACCCUGGUAGUCCACACCGUAAACGAUGGAUACUAGGUGUCGGGGACUUGAUCUUCGGUGCCGUACGUAACGCGUUAAGUAACCCGC
This 501-nucleotide ribosomal RNA is filed under the name Desulfomicrobium apsheronum. RNAcentral describes it as "bacterial SSU rRNA". It matches the Rfam family "Bacterial small subunit ribosomal RNA", at positions 382 to 872 of the family's 1533-position model. Lineage: Bacteria; Pseudomonadati; Thermodesulfobacteriota; Desulfovibrionia; Desulfovibrionales; Desulfomicrobiaceae. The record is from RNAcentral.